GAACGCUGGCGGCGUGCUUAACACAUGCAAGUCGAGCGAAGCACCUGCCAUUGACUCUUCGGAAGAUAUGGCAUGUGACUGAGCGGCGGACGGGUGAGUAACGCGUGGGUAAUCUGCCUCUCACAGGGGGAUAACAGAGGGAAACUUCUGCUAAUACCGCAUAAGACCACAGGAUGGCAUCAUCAAGGGGUCAAAGGUUAGAUCUGGUGAUAGAUGAGCUUGCGUAUCAUUAGCUAGUUGGUGAGGGUAAAGGCCCACCAAGGCGACGAUGAUUAGCCGAUCUGAGAGGAUGACCGGCCACACUGGGACUGAGAUACGGCCCAGACUCCUACGGGAGGCAGCAGUUAGGAAUAUUGGGCAAUGGAGGAAACUCUGACCCAGCAACGCCGCGUGAAGGAAGAAGGUUUUCGGACUGUAAACUUCUGAUCUAAGGGAAAAAGAAAGUGAUGGUACCUUAGGAGAAAGCCACGGCUAACUACGUGCCAGCAGCCGCGGUAA
RNAcentral lists this ribosomal RNA (498 nucleotides) under uncultured bacterium. RNAcentral's name for it is "bacterial SSU rRNA". It matches the Rfam family "Bacterial small subunit ribosomal RNA", at positions 31 to 523 of the family's 1533-position model. The record is from RNAcentral.